GUUCGCCUCCUCAUCGGUUUUGACACUACCAAGAAGCGUGGCGUCUUCCCUCUUUUGUUUUUUUUUUUUUGUUUUGCAUGUCUUUGCUUACUGCACAAAGUAUUUGACCACUCCACCGCCCAGUUAUGUUCGUCUGCUAUUCUCUCAGUCUAAAUCCGAACGGCGACCAUGAUUUUCUCCGUCUCCACAAUCGCCUACUUUCGCUAAUAUCCACCGCCAACCUUCUUCUACCCUCUUAAAAUCCAAUAUUCUUACAAAGUCCUUUUCAUCUUUCUUUAGAGAUCGAUCGGUCGAUCGAGAUGGCAUUGAACGGGAAAAUGCGAGCCUGGCCACCAGAGAAAAGGUAGCGGUGGUGGGAAUGGACUGCCGAAGAUACAAAUGCAUAUGAUGCUGAAGGCACAUACCAUCGAUGAGCUAUAUUCUCUUUAGCAGUAGAAGCUGGCACCAACCGCGUCGGUCGACUCCGUUCAAGGUGACGAUUCCCGUGUUUUGUUGUGUGUUAACAGAAACGAAUAAAGGGGAAAUCAGCCGCUGAUACAGAAGGAAGCAGCCCUGUGUUGUUGUAUCAGUACUGUUCAGCCCUAAUUUCUUCAACUCUUCCCUUCUGCUAGACAAACUUUUAAGAGGGAAUUUGCACUUAGGAUUGUAACUAAUCAGGUAUGUUUUCUAAUAAUUAAAUGUUUAAACUUUUAGAUGCUUUCAUAUCACUCGCUUCCUCAUUCACUCCUAAUUCUUGGAAUUCAUGUUCUUCACAAAUUGUUCAUUAAUGGGGUUUAUCCUAAUGUGAGGCCAAGCAGCUGAAAUGAUUAAAAUAUAAGAAUUGAGGUAUGCAAGUAAUUACGCAAAGAAAUGAUGGUUUGCUUAAUUUGUAGGAGAAAUUGCUCUUAUACAGUUUGUGAAAGUUUAUAUAUCAUAAAAGGGGGGAAGUGCCAGUGGAUGCCUUCUAUUGUUUGAUGUAGAUGCAUAUAACAUUGUUUCUGAUAUUAGGUUGUUUUCUUCUAUGUAUAUGAGAUUGGAAAUUUUUAAGUUUGCAGUGCGAAAUUGGCUUACAAAGGAAAUGAUUAAUAAGAAACUUCAGCGAUAGAGGUGUCCACAGAUCAUACAAGAACAAAAAUCACCUUCUUGAAAUUCACUUGGAAGAAAGGUGGUGAAGCUGAGACUUUUCGUUAAUCAACUAGCAUGUGUGGAACUUAAUCGUGGGACUUGGAUGGUUCAUGGUGUAGUUGUAGUGUCAUGGAGCAUAGGUGAUGUUCAUUUGAAAGAUUGGUUAUUGAGUGAACCUGAAAGGACAAUUUUACCCUUGACUGAUGAGUUGGAGUAUCCAAUAUUGGUUUCUGAUGGAGUGUGGGAUGACGUACAUAACACAUGAAAGUUGCGAAAUAAGUCAAUGCAGAAUGCUUCAAAUGCAUAAAAGAAAAUGUGAAACAAGUUUCUUCACAACAAAAUGUGACACAAGCUUUGAUAAUAUUGGCGAAAAAAAUUAGUUAGGAUAUGUUAACUGUUGGAAAUACCCUUUGAAAUCUUAUAUUUAACUCAAGAAGUAAUUUGUUUGUCAAUUAUGUUAUGCAACUUGACCAUAGGAAGAAAGAUUAUAAUUUUGGGUUCAGGUUCAGAGUUGGAGAAUAGGUGAACAGGGCAGGUAGGAAAUAGUAAACCUGGGUUGGUUUUCAAUUAAUCCAAAGAUACGAUUUUUUUUUAUCUUUUGUUAAUUUAUUAGUCAACGAAAUUAUGAUCAAGUCAAUGUUUUUAAUUCGUGGGACGCAGGAAGGCCAAAAAGCUGAGAUCACGAAAUGAAAGAAGAGUUUGACAUUUAAAACUGCCCCACUGCUAAAUUUUUACAAAAAUUCCCCUCUGAAAGUAGAACUAAAGAAGGUAACUUACUAUUUUUUCUUUGGCGGAAUUUUGCACUUAUUUCCCCAUUAGCUUUGUGUUUUAGACAUCUAUGUUGAACAAGAAACAAAAUGACAAUGCUUAUUCUUCAAGAGACCCUUUACAACGUAAAUUACUAUGAUACCCUUGGUAGAGAAUUGCAUAUCAAAUUACUAUUUUGUCAUUUUAUAUAUAUUAAAUGCAUGUCGAAAAUCUCCAAAGCUGAGCAGAAACAUCUGCUCUGUGGCCGAAUCAUCAAGUAGGAAGGUUAGAAAAUUCUUUUAAUAUUUGUAGUAAUAGAGUUUUUUUUAUGCAAAGAUUUUCAGGUUGGUUUUUGUGAUAUGAAUAGUGUGGUGAAAGAUUGUCUUUUUUUUUUUUUUUUUUUGCAAAAGGGUUGUCUCUACAUGUUUAUAUGAUAUGAUGUAAUGAAUCUUUCUUUGAAUCCAAAUGCGAUUUUUUU
Molecule: non-coding RNA, 2329 nt
Organism: Lactuca sativa (garden lettuce)
Lineage: Eukaryota; Viridiplantae; Streptophyta; Magnoliopsida; Asterales; Asteraceae
Source: RefSeq, a predicted model, not a curated record